RNAcentral lists this ribosomal RNA (944 nucleotides) under uncultured organism. RNAcentral describes it as "bacterial SSU rRNA". It matches the Rfam family "Bacterial small subunit ribosomal RNA", at positions 22 to 980 of the family's 1533-position model. The record is from RNAcentral.
GCUCAGAACGAACGCUGGCGGCGUGGUUGAUACAUGCAAGUCGAACGGGAACGUAUCCUUCGGGAUACUAGUACAGUGGCGAACGGGUGAGUAACACGUGAUCAAUGUGCCUUCGGGACCGGGAUAGCCACCCGAAAGGGUGGGUAAUACCGGAUGUGACCACAGUACCCCAUGGUGCAGUGGUAAAAGGUCCGCCGCCCGAAGAGCGGAUCGCGGCCUAUCAGCUUGUUGGCGGGGUAACGGCCCACCAAGGCAGCGACGGGUAGCCGGCCUGAGAGGGCGAUCGGCCACACUGGGACUGAGACACGGCCCAGACUCCUACGGGAGGCAGCAGUGCUGAAUCAUUCACAAUGGGCGCAAGCCUGAUGAUGCGACGCCGCGUGCGGGAUGAAGGCCUUCUGGGUUGUAAACCGCUGUCAGGACUUAGGAAGCUCUGACCAAGUCCAAAGGAAGCACCGGCUAAAUUCGUGCCAGCAGCCGCGGUAAUACGAAUGGUGCAAGCGUUGUUCGGAAUCACUGGGCAUAAAGAGUGCGUAGGCGGCUUGGUAAGUCAGCUGUGUAAGCCCUCGGCUUAACCGGGGAAUUGCAGCUGAUACUGCCUGGCUUGAGGCUGUGAGGGGUGAGCGGAAUUCCAGGUGUAGCGGUGAAAUGCGUAGAUCUCUGGGAGAACGCCAGCGGCGAAGGCGGCUCACUGGUGCAGUCCUGACGCUGAGGCACGAAAGCGUGGGGAGCAAACAGGAUUAGAUACCCUGGUAGUCCACGCCGUAAACGAUGGGCACUUUGUGGAGGGGGGAGUCGAUCUCCUCUCUGCCGGAGCAAAUGCGUUAAGUGCCCCGCCUGGGGAGUAUGGUCGACAGGCUAAAACUCAAAGCGAUUGACGGGGGCUCACACAGCGGUGGAGGAUGUUGUUCAAUUCGAAGCAACGCGAAGAACCUUACCUGGGU